GAGUUUGAUCCUGGCUCAGAUUGAACGCUGGCGGCAUGCCUUACACAUGCAAGUCGAACGGUAACAGGGAGCUUGCUCCGCUGACGAGUGGCGAACGGGUGAGUAAUAUAUCGGAACGUACCUUUGAGUGGGGGAUAACUAGUCGAAAGAUUAGCUAAUACCGCAUACGAUCUACGGAUGAAAGUGGGGGAUCGCAAGACCUCAUGCUCAUAGAGCGGCCGAUAUCUGAUUAGCUAGUUGGUGAGGUAAAGGCUCACCAAGGCUUCGAUCAGUAGCUGGUCUGAGAGGACGACCAGCCACACUGGGACUGAGACACGGCCCAGACUCCUACGGGAGGCAGCAGUGGGGAAUUUUGGACAAUGGGGGCAACCCUGAUCCAGCAAUGCCGCGUGAGUGAAGAAGGCCUUCGGGUUGUAAAGCUCUUUUGUCAGGGAAGAAACGGGGAUUCCUAAUACGAGUCCCUAAUGACGGUACCUGAAGAAUAAGCACCGGCUAACUACGUGCCAGCAGCCGCGGUAAUACGUAGGGUGCAAGCGUUAAUCGGAAUUACUGGGCGUAAAGCGUGCGCAGGCGGUUAUGUAAGACAGGUGUGAAAUCCCCGGGCUUAACCUGGGAAUGGCAUUUGUGACUGCAUAGCUAGAGUGUGUCAGAGGGGGGUAGAAUUCCACGUGUAGCAGUGAAAUGCGUAGAGAUGUGGAGGAAUACCGAUGGCGAAGGCAGCCCCCUGGGAUAACACUGACGCUCAUGCA
This 749-nucleotide ribosomal RNA is filed under the name uncultured bacterium. RNAcentral's name for it is "bacterial SSU rRNA". It matches the Rfam family "Bacterial small subunit ribosomal RNA", at positions 9 to 753 of the family's 1533-position model. The record is from RNAcentral.